CUCGGGCCGAGUCGGCUCCGCCCUUCGCUUGACCCGCCGGAGGCGCAGAGGUCCCGGGGCGCCCAGGUGUGCGUCCCUUCCGGCGCGCCCAAAGGCUGGGGGUCGGAAACUACGGGUAGGGGCCUGAUCCAGGGUCUCGGCAGCCUGUCGCCACGGGAGCGGCCGGGCGUGCUCCACUAGGCGAAGCGAGAUUACUUGAGCCGAAAAGCGGUUGUUAGACUUCGGGAGAGCAGGUACGGCCGUCUCGUCCUCCUCCCCCUGGCCAGCCUGGCCUCGCCCGAGGCGACACCGCAGCCUCCAGGCAGCUCGCUGAUGGGGUAAGGAGAGAAAGGGGAGGCACUGAUAAAGCACGCUUUUCACUUUUUUUGCCUUUUUGUCCCUUUGGAGAACUCGAGUCCGGCCCAUAUGCCGCUAGUUUUAGUUUCCCUUACCAAUACACUGAUGGCUUGGGUGAGCAAACUGAUAAACUCAAAAGCAGAUGUCUUACCAUUUACCUCUGAGCUGGAUCUGAAAUUGCAGCCUCCUCCUGUCACACCUGGUGCUUCCCCCAGCUCUCAGCCUGCCCAGACCUGCGUACAACUCUGAGCCUCAGCGAUCCAGGCUCCAUUAUCUUAAAACUGACUUGAAGAUGCCAGUGGUAAUUCUGAGUCUUUGCUUUCUGGUUUGUGCGGUUUUUUCCUCCCCAAGAACCUUUUGCUCUUUUCAUUAAGUCAGAGCAGGGGGGUGACCUUCAAUAAUACCUGACUUCCUCCUACUCAGUAAAUUGAGCAUACACUGAUGUUCCCUUCAGGCAGGGGACACAGCAGUACUUCUCCAGCCACUACCACAGUUUCCUUUGUGGUGACCUCAGGGACACUGCACAUCUAAUCACUGCUGAGCCUCAGCUGGAAGGGGCUGUGGUUGUAUCCAUCGGAGUCUCCCAAGUUUGAACAUGGACAACUCACAGAAAACGUAUGUUUCUUGUUUUCCAUUUUCAAAUAUGAUUAGUUCCUUAAGUAUUAAAUAUGGAAGUAGCAUAUGAUCCAAUUAUCCCACUUCUGAGUAUAUACCCCCCAGAAAAUGAAUGCAGGAACUCAAGCAGAUACUUGUACACCCAUUUUCAUAACAUUAUUCAUAGCAGAAGUUAGGGACCGUCCAGGGCCCAUCAACAGGUAGAUAAACACAACAUCCUAUGUCCAUACAAUAGGCUAUUAUUAAAAGAAAUGAAAUUCUGGCACGUGUUGCAGCAUGAAUGAACCUUGAAAACAUACUAAGUGAAAUAAGCCUGAGCCAAAGGUAGUAUUCUAGUAUGACUCUACCUUUAUGAAACAUCUAGAAUAAGCAAACUGAUAGAAAGUAGAACAGAGGUUACCAGAGGCUGGGGGAGAAAAAUAUGGGGAAUUAGUAAUUAAUGUGAAUAGAGUUUGAAUGAAAAUGAAUGAUGGUAAUGGUUGCAUAAUAUGAUGAAUAUACUUAGUGACAUCAAAUGGUGUACUUGAGAUGGUUAAAAAGGUAAAUUUUAUAUUAUAUUUUUUUUACCAUUGGAAAACACACUUAGGGCUGGUGAUAUAGCUCAGUGGUAGAGCACUUGCCUACCAAGUUAGGCAAGUGCCUAACUGCCUUGGGAGAGCUCAGUUCCCAGUACUGAAAAAAAAGGAGGGGGGGGUAUAAUCUGUUACUUUCCAAAUAAAAAGGUAAUCUCAACUUUAAAAGAAAUGUACCCAUUUUUCAAAAAAAGAAUAUAUAAGCACAUGGCAGAGAGAAUAUGAGGCCUAUGAAAUGGUACAAUUUUGGCCAGACUUUUUAAAAAAUUCAUUUUGUGACAGGAACUUGAUAAAUUGCCUAGGCUGGCUUAAAAACCUGCAGUCCUCCUGCCUCAGACUCCCAAGUAGCUGGGGUCAUAUGUGUGCCUGUAUUCCUCUUUAUAGGAAAACGUUCUGCCAUAGGCUUUUCUCUCUGUGCACCAUGGCCCUUAUUAGAAAAAAAAAUAAUAAUCCCAUGCCAGCUGUCAGAGUUAUAGCUACUACCAGACUGCUGAGGACAGGCCUAAAAGUACAUCUGCGUGGAUCAUAGAUGCACCCAGGGGACGGCAGGUGACCGCCCUGUGAGCAUCCUGGGUUCAUGCUAGUGAAACAGCUGGUUACAUGAAUGUAAGAGAUCCACACUAAUCUUUUUUGCUUUGGGUUAAGUGUGCACACUAUGGCUGUGCCAAGUGUGAGGUUGGUGGAACUUCACAUUGAGAGGCAGAACACCAACCGGUUCUUGACAGAAAGUUGCUAUAGUAGGGAAAGAUGUUUCUGUUUGUUGUUGUUUUCAAUGUACAAAUAUAGCUGAAAGUCAUUAAAAUGUCAAGUUUCUCUGACUUUGCGAAGAAGCACACAUGAGCAUCUUAAUCUUAUUUAGCUGGCAUGUCCUGGGUAAAGAAGGCAUGUGUUUUGAAACUCUUUGUUCAUAUAAUUAUCAGUUCUGAAAAUACUCAUUACUGAUUAUGUCUUUUUGAGAGCAAUUUUUAAAAGUUUAGUUUUGAAAGUAUUUUUAAGAAUAAACAUUCUGAAAUAAAUGUAUGUUUUCCAGCUCUGAAGUGUGUAAAAAAAAAACAAACAAAACAGCAUCCAUUAAUAAAUUACAGUAAGAGUUGUGGUAUUUUUCAUGCUUGUUUUCUUUUUAGAAAAAAAAUUACUUAAAAUUAUCAGCAGGGCUUAGACCCAGACACGCCUCUGCUGGAGUCUUUCUCUAAAUGCCCCCUUUCGGCUCCAAUGAAGCAAUUUCAGUUUGUUGCUCUUUUCCUAGAAGUUACUCCCCAGUACCUAGAGGGUAGAAGUUCUUUUCCAAUUAUUUCAGUAAAAAUUACUAUGAAUAAAAACAAACACACACACGAGUUUAAAUUGAUCAUGGUUAGAAAUUUUUGAGUAAAUGCCAGAAAUAAAGGAGUGAGCAGGAGAUGGGGAAGGGGUACAGACAGCGAUGGGCCAGGCAGGUGUGGCCUGGGGAGAAACACGGCCGAGUGGUGGGGCAGAGGCCCUGAACUGUGCAGCCCUGGCAGACAGAGACACUUGAAGACAGGAAGAAAGACGCCCCUUUGCAGGAAUGCUUCUGGAAACUGAGCUAGCAUUCUCCCUUGGGUACCUCAACCCACUUUCUUUUCAUUCUCCUUUCUACCUUCACUCCAUGUUUCCUUCCUUGCCUCAAACUCCUGCCUCCCUCCCUUCCUUAGGUAGGCUUUCACCAGCCUUUCAAAAGUCAGGACAAGCUUCUGGUCUCUCUUUUUUUUGGAGCGCCCUGUUUAGGGCUGGCGGGGAGGAAGGAUUCAGCUGCUUGAGUACCAGGUCCAAAGAAGCCAAGGGUCAGCCACCGGCCACCAGCCUGGACUCAACUUUGUCCUAUGUGCAUUUCCAGCCCUUUUGUAGAACAUGGCCUGUCAUAUUCAGUUGCUACUGGAGCAGAAUUAGAAAUCUUCACCCAGAAUCAGAAGAAUUGUGUUCUAGGCCUCAGUGCCAUCAACUAGCUGAGCAAUGGGCAUCUGCCUGCUGCCACUAUCUGGAGCUGUUUGCUCACUUGGAAAGUGAAGGGUCUCAUUCCUGCCAGAGCUGGGGCUCUGAUUGCUACUUGUGAGGUCAGGUGUGUUCGGCACUUCCCAGUAGCUCCCGGGCACAUAGCCUGAUCUACCAACUGAAAACUACUCUUCAAGAAAUCAGUGCCCUCAUGUAGAGCAUGGGAGGCCUGUUUGGACAUGCUCUCUGUGUGGGGAAGCUGAGGGCCUGUCUCACUGGUGCACUCUGGAAAUGCCCACUCCUCCUCCUUAAAGGAUGGCCCAAAGGGCUUCCAUCAGCUGCCUGGCUGAUGCACUCAGAUUAGCUAAUCCUCAAUCACAGGGAGUUCUUCAUUCCACCAAACCCAAGAGCCUUUGGUAGUUUCUCUUAUCCCAGCUUUGGGGAGCUUAGUCACAUAUCAGAGACUGUGAUUAAAACACGAUGCCCGCAGUGCCCACCAGGUUCUUCUUAGGUUCAGUGACAUAUUCAGACUCAUAAGCCUCCCAGACACCUCAUUGGGCUUUCAGUGACUCAGAAUAGUGAAGGGAAGAAUCACUGCCGGCCAUAGUGGAGCAUCAAGAGUUCAUCCCCACCCAUGCCCUACAAGUGUCAACACAGGACUCGGGGGUCCAUUGAUGUGUACCAUUUUAUGCAUCAAUUAAAAAUAAGUAAAUAAAUUAAAAGUUCACAUCAUGGGUGCUCUGGUAGCAGUCAGCUUAGGUAUAAGGAGUUGAUAUCCACAUCGGACGGGUGUAGUCCCUGCCUGUUGUAGAAGUCAGUGUCUUUUGUGGUAACUCCACAGGUGUAACAUUCCAGGUUCAUCACAAAAGGCAAGCCCAGCUCAAAAAGUCACCACACUCAGGCCUUAAAAAUGGUUUCCUGCCAUGUAUUUAUAGUUUAUACAUUCAACACUGUAAAACAUGCCUUAUUCCCCUGAUUUGGACAACAAAUGAUAGCACCAAAACUUCCUGAAUCCGAGGUCCACUGUUCCUUCAGUAUUUCACGGCUGCCUCCUCUUGAAUGGAAUUCCUAAUGUGCAUGUGACUAUGGCAGACUCUUCACAUGGUUUAGGUGUAUUGAAAAGAUAUAAUAUCCUAAUGUUUUCUAAAGCACAAUAGCAUUUCUCAUCAAAUCAUUGGUUUUACUUGUGAUUGUUUCAGAAAAUACGUGCAGGUUAGCUCAACAGAUGCAUCUGAGAAUACCUGGCACCUAGU
Molecule: long non-coding RNA, 4723 nt
Filed under: Heterocephalus glaber (naked mole-rat)
Lineage: Eukaryota; Metazoa; Chordata; Mammalia; Rodentia; Bathyergidae
Description: lncRNA (ENSHGLG00100036208.1)
Source: RNAcentral